This 4965-nucleotide long non-coding RNA is filed under the name Homo sapiens (human). RNAcentral's name for it is "non-protein coding LINC01285:11". The stretch from base 4186 to 4251 matches the Rfam family "mir-1255 microRNA precursor family". The record is from RNAcentral. Lineage: Eukaryota; Metazoa; Chordata; Mammalia; Primates; Hominidae.
AUCCCCGGACGGCUGCGAGGAAUGAGCGGUUGGCUCGGGCUGGUUUCCUCCCUCCACCGCCUGCUUGUUUCGCCAUGCCCGGGCCGGACGGUGGGGCUGCAGCGGCGAAAGCGACUGAAGUCCGGGAGCAGUCGCAUGAGCUUCCCGGUCACCAGGAGGCCCCGGGAACAGACACCUCACCCUGACAUUGUGGCAGGAACUUCUGGAUUGCUUUCCAAAGUGGCUGCACUGUUUUCUAUCCCCACUGGGCAGGAAAACAUCUAAGAAAGGAGGCUCCCCCCUUCCCUUGCAGGGUUACCAGCAAUUAAAAAGAAGUACUAGAGAGGCAAAUAUCGGCAGUAUACAUCUAAGCGCUGGUCGGAAAAGAAGGAACUCAGCCCAAGAACUUGCCCAAUCUGAUACUGGAGGUGCCACUCAAGAACCACUCCCUCCAAGAUGUUUUCCUGGAUUUCCUCAGCCUAAAGUAAUCCCUCUUUUUCCUGGCUAUACCAUCUGGAACAGAUGACUUCCAAGGACACCGUAGCAAAGAAAAAGAGAACUGGAAGCCCAUGUGCCUUAAUCGCUUCAUCCUAGAGGUAACACAGAACUUCUGCAUACAUUUCAUUGGCAGGAACUAAUCACCUAACCCCAAUUUAACCACAAGGAAGACUGGGAUAUGUAGAGGCAUAGCUAGUAGAUUUCACGUCUAUUAACAGUCUCUGCUAUACCCCCUCAGUACCAACUGACCACUAACUUCCCACCCCACUCACCAGGAAUGUAUAGCUGCUGAUGAUUUUCGAAUUCGGUAAGAGACUGGAUUGUGAAUAUCAGACCACCUCUUCAGUCUAACAGACAGUGCUUGUUUUACCUAAGGUGAGGAGACAGCACAGGCAGUACUCACUUGUUUGUCAGUUACAGUCCUUUUCCUCUCCCUCUCUCAUUACUCACCAUGAAACACACAUUGUCCCUUCUACUUCUGUCCCAAGCGUCACACUCAUAAGAACAUAAGAAGUGCCCCCAGAUCAAACAAGAGUGCUUGAAUAGAAAGUGAGAUAUUUCUUCUUUAUAAGGUUGACCUUACAAGGCUGAGGCAGGCUAUGCCUAAUUAUGUAGGGACCCUAAUGUCUCAUGGUUGUGUCAGCAUAAAUUAAUUAAUGAUUAACCCUCUAACAAGGCUAAGUGAACAGAAUUCCCCAGUGUCCUGAGAGAAGGAAAGUUAAUGUGUUCUUUCUCCCAGGAGGAGGAUAACCAGUGGAGCCUUUUCUGGAUUUCUCACUAGAAGUAAAGACCAAAUUUCCAGAAGGAACCUGAGAGAUAAAAAGUGGUUGGCUGCUCCUGACCUGACUCAUAGUGUUUAACUGAACCAUACCACUAGUGUAUACUAGUGUGUGUGUAUGUACAUGCAUACACACAUGCACACACACAUUCACACACAAUCCUAUGGUAUUUGGUGACUUUGGAUGCCCAGCUCUUGCAACAAUUUCCUGCUGUCAUUCUUUUCCCUUUGAAUCUCAGGGGUGAGCAAACUAAAGAAAUACUAUCAUCUUACUGCUUUUAGUAUAUUCCAUAGAAAAGGAGUGGCUGGAGUCAGUGUAGAUCAACCCAAGCAGUACAAAUCUGCCAGAAUUGCAGCUCAGCUUCCUUACCUCCAGCAUGUGUACCUUUCUGAAGGGUAGGCCCUUAAGCCAGACAUAAGUAAGUUAUCCACUCUGUGCAUAACUGUCUGACUUGGCUUAGAAGCAUGAAAGGGGCAGAAAUGUAAGAUGGGUAAAGAAGGGCUUCAUCUGAAAUAGGGCCAUGAUGAUUAGCUCUCUCUUUCCUUCCUUUGGCUUCAUUGCUGUAUUCCAUGUGGGUCUUGAUAUCUUGAAACUGGAUGAGAUACCCAAAUAGUCAGUCCCUGAAUAUAAAUCAUUUCCUUGUACAGAAUCACUGCCAAACUCAGUAUGGUUAAAAGAUUUUUAACACCCAGCUGCAGCAUUCACUCUGGUUAGAAUUGGCCAUUUAAAUUUAUUUCACAUAUGUAAGUAUCAUAUCCUUUAUAAUGCAUUCUUAAUUGUUGCUCAGUUCUUCCAGAUUGAAUUCCUUUAAAAAAUUCCUUAUGUAAUCUUUUAAUUCUAGUUGGAAAACAUCACUUGACAGUUGCUGUUUAUACAGGCAUGCCUCGUUUUAUUGUGCCUGGCUUUAUUGUACUUUGCAGAUACUGUGUUUUUCACAAAUGGAAGGUUUGUGGCAACCCUGCGUUAAGCAAGUCUGUUGGCACCAUUUUCUCGACAGCAUGUGCUAACUUUGUCUCUGUCUCACAUUUUGGUAAUUCUCUCAAUGUUUCAAACUUUUUCAUUAUGAUUACAUCUGUUAUGUGGAGCUGUGAUCAGUGAUCUUUGAUGUUAACAUUGUAAUUGUUUUGGGGUGCCACAACUGUGCCCAGAUAAGACAGUGAACUUAAUUGGUAAAUGUUUUAUGUGUUCAGACUGUUCCACUGACUAGCCCUUCUUCAAACUCUCUCACUCUCCUUGGGCCUCCCUAUUCCCUGAAAUACAACAAUAUUGAUAUUAAGCCAAUUAAUAACCCUACAAUGAUUUCCAAGUGUUUAAGUGAAAGGAAAGACAUGUAUGUUUCACCUUAAGUGAUCUGCCUGCCUCGGCAUCCCAAAGUGCUGGGAUUACAGGCAUGAGCCACCGUGCCCGGCCAGCAUCUAGGAUUUUAAUAGCUGCAGAGGAGAAGUCAGUGCUUGGCUUCAAAGGUUCAAAGGACAGGUUGACUCUCUUGUUAGGAGCUAAUGCAGCUGGUGACUUUAAAUUGAAGCCAAUAUUCAUUUAUCAUUCUGAAAAUUCUAGGGUCCUUAAGAAUUAUGCCAAAUUCUGCUUGUGUUCUCUAAAUGGAACAACAAAGCCUGAAUGACAGCACAUCUGUUUACAGCAUGGUUUUCUGAACAUGUUAAGCCCACUGUUGAGACCUACUGCUCAGAAAAAAAGGUUCCUUUCAAAAUAUUACUGCUCAUUAACAAUGCACUUAGUCACCCAAGAGCUCUGAUGGCUAUGUACAAGGAGAUUAAUGUUGUUUUCAUGUCUGCUAACACAACAUACAUUCUGUAGCAGAUGGAUUAAGGAGUAAUUUAGACCUUCAAGUCCUAUUUUUUUAAAAAAUACAUUUUAUAAGGCUGCAAUGGAGCUAUUCCUUUGAUAGAUCUGGGCAAAGGAAAUUGAAAACCUUCUGGAAAGGAUUCACCAUUCUAAAUGACAUUAAGAACACUCAUGGUUAAUAGGAGGAGGUCAAAAUACCAACGUGGACUGUAAUCCCAGCAUUUUGGGAGGCCAAGGCGGGUGGAUCACUUGAGGUCAGGAGUUCAAGACCAGCCUGGCCAACAUGCUGAAAUCCUGUCUCUACUAAAAAUAUAAAACAUUAGCCGGGUGUGGUGGUGGGCGCUUGUAAUCCCAGUUACUUGGGAGGCUGAGGCAGGAGAAUCUCUUGAACCCAGAAGGUGGAGGUUGCAGUGAGCCGAGAUUGUGCCACUGCACUCCAGCCUGGGCAACGGAGUGAGACUCCAUCUCAAAAAACAAAACAAAACAAAACAAAACAAAUAAACAAACAAAAGACAAAAAAAAACCCAACAUUAACAGGAGUUGGGAAGAAAUUUGAUAUGGUUCAGAUCUGUGUCCCCACCCAAAUCUCAUGUCGAAUUGUAAUUCCCAGUGUUGGAGCUGGGGCCUGGAGGAAGGUGGUUGGAUAACGGGGGUGGUUUCUCAUGGCUUAACACCAUCCCCCUUAGUUGCCGUCAUCACAUACUUGUGAGAUCUGGUUGCUUAAAAAUGUGUAUCACCUCCUCCCCGCUCUCUUUCUCCUACUCUGGCCAUGUGAAAUUACUUGCUCUUCCUUCGCCUUCUGCCAUGAUUGGAAGCUUCCUGAGACCUCCCCGGAGGCUGAUGCUGCCGUGCUUCCUGUACAGCCUGCAGUACUGUGAGCCAAAUAAACCUCUUUUCUUUAUAUAUUACCCAGUCUCAGGCAUUUCUUUAUAGCAAUGCAAGAAUGGACUAAUACAAAGUUCAUUCCAACCUUCAUGGAUGACUUUGAGGGGUUCAAGACUUCAGUGGAGGAAGUCACUGCAGAUGAGGUGGAAAUAGCAAGAGAACUAAAAUUAGAAGUGAAGCCCGAAGAUAUGAUUGAAUUGCUGCAAUCUCAUGAUAAAACUUGAACAGAUGAGGUAUUGCUUCUUAUGGAUGAGCAAAGAAAGUGGAUUUUUGAGAUGGAAUUUACUCCUGGUGAAGAUGCUGUGAACAUUGUUGAAAUGACAACAAAGGAUUUAGAAUAUGACAUAAACUUAGUUGAUAAAGCAGUGGCAGGGUUUGAGAGGACUGACUCCAAUUUUGAAAGAAGUUUCACUGUGGGUAAAAUGCUAUCAAAUAGCAUGGCAUGCUAUAAAGAAAUCUUUUGGGCCAGGUGCAGUGGCUCAUGCCUGUAAUCCCAACAUUUUGGGAGGCCGAGGUGGGUGGAUCACGAGGUCAAGAGAUUGAGACCAUCCCGGCUAACAUGGUGAAACCCCAUCUCUAUUAAAAAUACAAAAAAAUUAGCUGGGCAUGGUGGCACAUGCCUGUAGUCCCAGCUGAGGCAGGAGAAUCACUUGAACCCCGGAGAUGGAGGCUACAGUGAGCCAAGAUUGUGCCAUUGCACUCUAACUUAGUGACAGAGCAAGACUCUGUCUAAAAAUAAAUAAAUAAAUAAAUAAUCUUUUAGGCCAGUCGUGGUGGCUCACGCCUGUAAUCCUAGCACUUUGGGAGGCUGAGACGGGCAGAUUGCCUGAGCUCAGGAGUUCCAGACCAGCCUGGGCAACACAGCGAAACCCCAUCUCUACUAAAAUACAAAAAUCGGCUGGGCGUGGUGGCGGGCGCCUGUAAUCCCAGCUAUUCAGGAGGCUGAGGCAUGAGAAUUGCAUGAACCCUGGAGGCGGAAGUUGCAGAGAGCUGAGAUCUUGCCACUGUACUCCAGCCUGUG